This 104-nucleotide ribosomal RNA is filed under the name Escherichia coli. The record is from RNAcentral. Lineage: Bacteria; Pseudomonadati; Pseudomonadota; Gammaproteobacteria; Enterobacterales; Enterobacteriaceae.
AUUGCGGUGGUCCCACCUGACCCCAUGCCGAACUCAGAAGUGAAACGCCGUAGCGCCGAUGGUAGUGUGGGGUCUCCCCAUGCGAGAGUAGGGAACUGCCAGGC